This 563-nucleotide ribosomal RNA is filed under the name uncultured bacterium. RNAcentral describes it as "bacterial SSU rRNA". It matches the Rfam family "Bacterial small subunit ribosomal RNA", at positions 338 to 916 of the family's 1533-position model. The record is from RNAcentral.
CCUACGGGAGGCAGCAGUGGGGAAUCUUGCACAAUGGGCGAAAGCCUGAUGCAGCAACGCCGCGUGCGGGAAGAAGGCCCUAGGGUUGUAAACCGCUUUCAGUAGGGAAGAAAAUGACGGUACCUACAGAAGAAGGUGCGGCCAACUACGUGCCAGCAGCCGCGGUGACACGUAGGCACCAAGCGUUAUCCGGAUUUAUUGGGCGUAAAGAGCUCGUAGGCGGUUUGGUAAGUCGGGUGUGAAAACUCUGGGCUCAACCCAGAGACGCCACCCGAUACUGCUAUGACUAGAGUACGGUAGGGGAGCGGGGAAUUCAUGGUGUAGCGGUGAAAUGCGCAGAUAUCAUGAGGAACACCAGCGGCGAAGGCGCCGCUCUGGGCCGUAACUGACGCUGAGGAGCGAAAGCAUGGGUAGCAAACAGGAUUAGAUACCCUGGUAGUCCACGCUGUAAACGAUGAGCGCUAGGUGUUGCGGGUGUUGACCCCUGCAGUGCCGCAGCUAACGCAUUAAGCGCUCCGCCUGGGAAGUACGGCCGCAAGGCUAAAACUCAAAGGAAUUGACGG